CCUACGGGAGGCAGCAGUGGGGAAUAUUGCGCAAUGGGCGAAAGCCUGACGCAGCGACGCCGCGUGAGGGAUGAAGGUCUUCGGAUCGUAAACCUCUGUCAGCAGGGAAGUACGGUCCCUGUGCUAAUCAGCAGUGAAUUUACGGUAUCUGCAAAGGAAGCAUCGGCUAACUCCGUGCCAGCAGCCGCGGUAAUACGGAGGGUGCGAGCGUUGAUCGGAAUUACUGGGCGUAAAGCGCGCGUAGGCGGUAUGUCAAGUCAAGGGUGAAAUCCCCGGGCUCAACGGGGGAACUGCCGUUGAUACUGGCAAACUGGAGGGUGGGAGAGGAUAGUGGAAGUCGAGGUGUAGGAGUGAAAUCCGUAGAUAUCUGGAGGAACAACAGUGGCGAAGGCGACUAACUGGCACAUAACUGACGCUGAGGAGCGAAAGCGUGGGUAGCAAACAGGAUUAGAUACCCGAGUAGUC
RNAcentral lists this ribosomal RNA (465 nucleotides) under uncultured bacterium. RNAcentral describes it as "partial 16S ribosomal RNA". It matches the Rfam family "Bacterial small subunit ribosomal RNA", at positions 338 to 795 of the family's 1533-position model. The record is from RNAcentral.